GACGAACGCUGGCGGCGUGCUUAACACAUGCAAGUCGAACGGAAAGGCCCUGCUUUUGUGGGGUGCUCGAGUGGCGAACGGGUGAGUAACACGUGAGUAACCUGCCCUUGACUUUGGGAUAACUUCAGGAAACUGGGGCUAAUACCGGAUAGGAGCUCCUGCUGCAUGGUGGGGGUUGGAAAGUUUCGGCGGUUGGGGAUGGACUCGCGGCUUAUCAGCUUGUUGGUGGGGUAGUGGCUUACCAAGGCUUUGACGGGUAGCCGGCCUGAGAGGGUGACCGGCCACAUUGGGACUGAGAUACGGCCCAGACUCCUACGGGAGGCAGCAGUGGGGAAUUUUGGACAAUGGGCGAAAGCCUGAUCCAGCAAUGCCGCGUGUGUGAAGAAGGCCUUCGGGUUGUAAAGCACUUUUGUCCGGAAAGAAAUCCUUGGCCCUAAUACGGUCGGGGGAUGACGGUACCGGAAGAAUAAGCACCGGCUAACUACGUG
Molecule: ribosomal RNA, 488 nt
Filed under: uncultured bacterium
Lineage: Bacteria
Description: partial 16S ribosomal RNA
Rfam family: Bacterial small subunit ribosomal RNA
Source: RNAcentral